UUGCACAAGUGAGUGUACAUAGCACUCUGUACAUCCAUGGAACCUGUCAACUCUCCCUUAUUUACAGGGAGUCUCCCGCUUUUUGGACACCAGGACCACUCUCGGGACAGGUUUUCUCCUGUCUUUUGCUCAAAACUACUGGUGCCAUAGCUCCUCCUUUGAUGACUAGAUCAACGUGCAGUAGCAAACUCAGCCUUUAGGUGUGCUGUGUGUUGAAAGUAACAAUGCCAGCUGGACCUGUUUACUGUAUUGGGGGCUGCCAAAUUAGCCACCUACAACUACAGCACAAGAACCACAGGGGCGUCGUAACCAGAGCGGACAUUCUGCCGAGGUCAAAGCCACCUACAACUACAGCACAAGAACCACAGGGGAGUCGUAACCAGAGCGGACAUUCUACCGAGGUCAAAGCCACCUACAACUACAGCACAAGAACCACAGGGGCGUUGUAACCAGAGCGGACAUUCUGCCGAGGUCAAAGCCACAUACAACUACAGCACAAGAACCACAGGGGCGUCGUAACCAGAGCGGACAUUCUACCGAGAUCAAAGCCACAUACAACUACAGCACAAGAACCACAGGGGAGUAGUAACCAUAGCGGACAUUCUACCGAGGUCAAAGCCACCUACAACUACAGCACAAGAACCACAGGGGCGUCGUAACCAGAGCGGACAUUCUGCCAAGGUCAAUGCCACAUAUAACUACAGCACAAGAACCACAGGGGCGUCGUAACCAGAGCGGACAUUCUGCCGAGGUCAAAGCCACCUACAACUACAGCACAAGAACCACGGGGAGUCGUAACCAGAGCGGACAUUCUGCCGAGGUCAAAGCCACCUACAACUACAGCACAAGAACCACAGGGGAGUUGUAACCAGAGCUGACAUUCUACCGAGGUCAAAGAAGUCCCCUGGGUCGACAUUUUCUAUACCUUUUAGGAUUUUAGCUCAUUAAGG
Long non-coding RNA from Acipenser ruthenus (sterlet), 950 nucleotides. RefSeq lists it as uncharacterized. NCBI's taxonomy places the organism in Eukaryota, Metazoa, Chordata, Actinopteri, Acipenseriformes, Acipenseridae. The transcript has 3 exons. The record is from RefSeq and is a predicted model, not a curated record.